This 1110-nucleotide long non-coding RNA is filed under the name Nothobranchius furzeri (turquoise killifish). RNAcentral's name for it is "lncRNA (ENSNFUG00015000896.1)". Lineage: Eukaryota; Metazoa; Chordata; Actinopteri; Cyprinodontiformes; Nothobranchiidae. The record is from RNAcentral.
UUUGGCUUCAUUAAAGUGAUCCUGAUCCCGUCCAGAACCCAGAUUCGGUCCUCGUGUCUUUGUAUUCUUCUUCUGCCAGCAGCCAGAGUUCAUUACAACUCAUCAGUCUUUAGAAACUCAGUCGAUUAUUUCAGACUGAUCCAGUGCUCCGUCACACUCAGACUGUUUCUGUUCCACAGUAAACGCAUCAGCAGGUGGGAGGCUCCGGUGAGGUCUGCUGCAGGAAGCUGCAGGUGGCAGGUUGAGCCGAAGCAUCUCAGAGCAUCCCGUUCGGCAGCUGAUGAAGCUGAUCUACAGCAGACAGAUCAAACGGAGGUUUCUCCAGACAUUAAAAGGCUCCUAACAGCCAGACAGAAGAAAGCAGUUCUUUCCGGGUUUGGUGACAUCCGUCUGAGGCUUCCAGGUUCGGGAACGCGACACCAGCUGUGUUUGGGUGUUUCUACGCUGAUCAGCAGAAACAAACAGAAACAACAGGAGGUCUUCAGCGUCUCUCAGGUUUCUACAUUCUGUCACUCAGUCGUCCUGAAUCAAGUGAAUCUGACCCUCAGAUCAAUGAAACUCACAGAGUGAUGUAAACAAACACACUAACAAGAGUAAACACUCUGCAGGCUCCGCCUCCAGCUCUGAAGACUGUAGCCUCACCCCUGUAGGCUCCGCCUCCAGCACCUGAUUCACUAUCUUUGAUGCGAGAUGCAGCAGGAGGAGGUCUCGGUCCACCAGCUCGGGCCGACUCUGUUUACUUCGUGCCGACCCAGUUCUCCACCACCAACGGGACCGCGAUUAGCUGAUGAGACACUUCUUCACAGAUGCAGAAUCAUCAGGAAGCUUCUGGUGAUUCAUCUUCAGUGAGAAAAUAAAAGGAGUUACGGCUCGUUAACAGGAAGCAGCUGGUUCAGAAGUGAGCGUGUGCACUAGCGUUCCAGCUGAUUCAGACGAUUCCCGCAUCCACCAUCCUCAUCCGUCUGUUAGAGCAGCGGGCUGGACAGGAAGAGCCCCAAUCUGAUGGAACAGAACAUCUAGUCCCAGUUUAUUAUCAGUCAGAGUUACUGCAGGUAAUUAGGUGUGUGUGUGUGUGUGUGCGUGUGUGUGUGUGUGUGCGUGUGUGUGUGU